This 167-nucleotide ribosomal RNA is filed under the name Bacillus anthracis (anthrax bacterium). RNAcentral's name for it is "partial 23S ribosomal RNA". It matches the Rfam family "Bacterial large subunit ribosomal RNA", at positions 2763 to 2925 of the family's 2925-position model. Lineage: Bacteria; Bacillati; Bacillota; Bacilli; Caryophanales; Bacillaceae. The record is from RNAcentral.
GAUAAGUGCUGAAAGCAUCUAAGCAUGAAGCCCCCCUCAAGAUGAGAUUUCCCAUAGCGUAAGCUAGUAAGAUCCCUGAAAGAUGAUCAGGUUGAUAGGUUCGAGGUGGAAGCAUGGUGAUAUGUGGAGCUGACGAAUACUAAUAGAUCGAGGACUUAACCAUAUAA